CAAUAGCGUAUAUUAAAGCUGUUGCGGUUAAAAAGCUCGUAGUUGGAUUUCUGUCAAGGACAACUGGUCCGCCCUCCGGGUGAGCACAUAGUUUGGUCUUGACAUCUUGCUGGAAGCUGUUGCUGCACUUGGCUGUGUGGCGCAGUGUUCAGCACUCUCACUUUGAGGAAAUUGGAGUGUUUCAAGCAGGCACAUGCCUUUGGACACAGUAGCAUGGAAUAAUUAGAUUGGGCUUUUGCUCCAAUUUGUCGGUUUCUGGAGCUGAGGUGAGUAUUAAUGGGGAUUGUUGGGGGCAUCCGAAUUUAGCCGUCAGAGGUGAAAUUCUUGGAUCUGCUAAAGACGGACAACUGCGAAAGCGUUUGCCCAGGAUGUUUUCAUUGA
This 381-nucleotide ribosomal RNA is filed under the name uncultured eukaryote. RNAcentral describes it as "partial 18S ribosomal RNA". It matches the Rfam family "Eukaryotic small subunit ribosomal RNA", at positions 592 to 976 of the family's 1831-position model. The record is from RNAcentral.